GUCCAUUUGCUUUUCCAAAAAUGGCCAAAUCAUGACACUGUUGACAGCCCAGCUAGGAAGCGUCUGAUGAAAUUUUUGGCCCUGGAAACGCCAGGUGUUGAUGGCUCCAGAUUUUGUCAGCGCUUCUGAAUACUAAAAGGGCUCUGUGUGUGCCUGGAGGGGCAGAGGGUGUGCACAAUGGAGCAGAGGAGAAGGCAAAGAUGCCUGCAAUGUCAGACACACUAACAGAGGACCUACCUCCUUUAACUUUUCUAAUAGUUGUGACUUCUCUUCAUGGAGCCAGACAGAGAACCAUGGGAGAAGAGCAAACGAAGGCAGACGGGAAAGAAGGACAGCUCCCUAAGCCUUCGGGGAGAAAAAUGAACAGAG
Molecule: long non-coding RNA, 369 nt
Filed under: Equus caballus (horse)
Lineage: Eukaryota; Metazoa; Chordata; Mammalia; Perissodactyla; Equidae
Description: lncRNA (ENSECAG00000059588.1)
Source: RNAcentral